GUUCUAUGCAGCGUGGUUCACACUGCUGAUUUCAUAUCUACCCAUCUUUGGUGGAGACUAUCGAAAGUGAUAAUAAUGAUAACUUAUCAAAUAACUUUCAAGAUGCAGUUUACAAGUUAAUUCAAGCUGAGUCCAGAUUUAUUACGUGACAUGUCACAGCGCACUAAAGUUCUCGAGUUGUACAAGACGCUAUUAUACAUGGGUCGAGACUAUCCGAAGGGAUAUCAAUAUUUUAGGACCAAGCUGAGGAGAGCCUUCGACAAAAACAAAGCAGAAACCGAUUCCGAGAAAAUCGAUAAGAUGAUAGGACAUGGUAAUUUCGUGAUAAAGGAACUGGAAGCGUUGUAUAUGUUGCGCAAGUACAGAACUUUGAAGAAAAGAUAUUAUGACAAUUAACAGACAAGAAGUUUACGUCGUGCACAAAUGUCCGACGAUAUUAUGAGUUUUAAUUUUGUGAAUAUUGUUUAGUGUGUACAAAUCUGAAAACAUGGUCGCUUGCGUAGCUGUUAUUGGUAAGGAUAAUUCUCCAAAAUAUAUCAAAUGUGCGGAUGAAGCUUCUGCACUACAAUUUCACUACAAGGUACACACAUCCAUCGAUAUCAUAGAAGAGAAGCUGAGUGUAGGAAAUAAAACAGCAGUGGAUACACG
RNAcentral lists this unclassified non-coding RNA (648 nucleotides) under Harpegnathos saltator (Jerdon's jumping ant). Its description in RNAcentral is "trafficking protein particle complex subunit 2-like protein, transcript variant X4". The record is from RNAcentral. Lineage: Eukaryota; Metazoa; Arthropoda; Insecta; Hymenoptera; Formicidae.